UACGGAGGGUCCGAGCGUUAAUCGGAAUUACUGGGCGUAAAGCGUGCGCAGGCGGUUUGUUAAGCCAGAUGUGAAAUCCCCCGGGCUCAACCUGGGAAUUGCAUUUGGAACUGGCGAACUAGAGUCUUGUAGAGGGGGGUAGAAUUCCAGGUGUAGCGGUGAAAUGCGUAGAUAUCUGGAGGAAUACCGGUGGCGAAGGCGGCCCCCUGGACAAAGACUGACGCUCAUGCACGAAAGCGUGGGGAGCAAACAGGAUUAGAUACCCGCGUAGU
This 272-nucleotide ribosomal RNA is filed under the name uncultured bacterium. RNAcentral describes it as "partial 16S ribosomal RNA". It matches the Rfam family "Bacterial small subunit ribosomal RNA", at positions 524 to 794 of the family's 1533-position model. The record is from RNAcentral.